This is a small RNA of Sclerotinia borealis F-4128, 68 nucleotides long. It matches the Rfam family "bZIP non canonical Hac1/Xbp1 intron". From Rfam's summary of the family: bZIP intron RNA is a non-canonical intron that was first reported in HAC1 gene in yeast and XBP1 gene in Metazoa. Lineage: Eukaryota; Fungi; Ascomycota; Leotiomycetes; Helotiales; Sclerotiniaceae. The record is from Rfam.
AGUUCUUACAGUAUGAUACAACAUCCUGCCGCGAUGUUGUGCGACCUGCAGUGUCAGCUGAAAGAACA